CUACGGGCUGCUCCAGUGAGGAAUAUUGCACAAUGGGGGAAACCCUGAUGCAGCAACGCCGCGUGGAGGAUGACGCAUUUCGGUGUGUAAACUCCUUUUAUGAGUCAAGAAAAUGACGGUAGCUCAUGAAUAAGCACCCGCUAACUCCGUGCCAGCAGCCGCGGUAAUACGGAGGGUGCAAGCGUUACUCGGAAUCACUGGGCGUAAAGGACGCGUAGGCGGGAUGUCAAGUCAGGUGUGAAAUCCUAUGGCUCAACCAUAGAACUGCACUUGAAACUGGCAACCUAGAGUAUGGGAGGGGGAGAUGGAAUUAGUGGUGUAGGGGUAAAAUCCGUAGAUAUCACUAGGAAUACCGAAAGCGAAGGCGAUCUCCUGGAACAUUACUGACGCUAAGGCGUGAAAGCGUGGGGAGCAAACAGGAUUAGAUACCCCGGUAGUC
This 439-nucleotide ribosomal RNA is filed under the name uncultured bacterium. RNAcentral's name for it is "partial 16S ribosomal RNA". It matches the Rfam family "Bacterial small subunit ribosomal RNA", at positions 339 to 795 of the family's 1533-position model. The record is from RNAcentral.